Molecule: unclassified non-coding RNA, 792 nt
Filed under: Hevea brasiliensis (rubber tree)
Lineage: Eukaryota; Viridiplantae; Streptophyta; Magnoliopsida; Malpighiales; Euphorbiaceae
Source: RNAcentral
AAAGAAUUGGCCCUUGUUCCAUUUUUCAAAAACCGAAAACCCCAAACGAAACCCAAAAAAAAAAAAAAAAAAAAAAUGAAAUACAACAGUUCAAAUAACUACUGACUGAAGACACAGCUUCCUAACCAAAGAAAUACAUGGGACAUCAAACAUUUUACUGAAAUAGCUCCCAGGAGAAAAAAUUUCCUUAUUCCUAAAGCAGUUUCAGAAUCUUGAAUGUACAUAACUAACUCCCCACCAAGAAGUUAAUGAUGCUUGAUCUACUUACUCCAUUGUAUUUGAAAUUUAUUGGUCCCUUCAGUUUACAAUUACCUAAAAAGGUAUUAUGUGCUAUGCUGCAUACCAAUCACUGUUUCAGUAUUCUGAAUAAUUAUUUUGAACAGAUCAAACUAGCCUGACAUGUGCGGGUUGUGGAUUUUAUUGCAACGGCUUGAUCAUUUGGAGUACAACCCACCAAAUGUUUCCACAAUUCUUCAAUGCAUCACAGUAUUACUGUUUACAUCUCUAGGAAAUCUGAACUUCGGAUUCUGCUCCACAAAAGCUGGUGGCCUCUGGUAGACCACUGAUGCAGCUCUAAUCAAAAUCCCAGCCGUUAAACCCCAUAUCAAAUACUUCUUCUUCUCUGUUUCAUAGUCAAAGAAAUGAACCAGAUACUUUUCUCCCAUCCAUUCUCUCUCCUCUACUCUUCGAUUUUCAUCCUUAAUGAACAUUUCCAAUGGAGCAUCAAAUACUGCUUCAACUUCACCAGGAUUUGGAGAGGGCUUGAAUUCUUUCUUAUCACGUAGUAUGCCU